Molecule: ribosomal RNA, 1436 nt
Filed under: uncultured organism
Description: SSU rRNA
Rfam family: Bacterial small subunit ribosomal RNA
Source: RNAcentral
ACAGGCUUAACACAUGCAAGUCGAGGGGCAGCAUGGUCUUAGCUUGCUAAGACUGAUGGCGACCGGCGCACGGGUGAGUAACACGUAUCCAACCUGCCGUCUACUCUUGGACAGCCUUCUGAAAGGAAGAUUAAUACAAGAUGGCAUCAUGAGUCCGCAUGUUCACAUGAUUAAAGGUAUUCCGGUAGACGAUGGGGAUGCGUUCCAUUAGAUAGUAGGCGGGGUAACGGCCCACCUAGUCUUCGAUGGAUAGGGGUUCUGAGAGGAAGGUCCCCCACAUUGGAACUGAGACACGGUCCAAACUCCUACGGGAGGCAGCAGUGAGGAAUAUUGGUCAAUGGGCGAGAGCCUGAACCAGCCAAGUAGCGUGAAGGAUGACUGCCCUAUGGGUUGUAAACUUCUUUUAUAAAGGAAUAAAGUCGGGUAUGCAUACCCGUUUGCAUGUACUUUAUGAAUAAGGAUCGGCUAACUCCGUGCCAGCAGCCGCGGUAAUACGGAGGAUCCGAGCGUUAUCCGGAUUUAUUGGGUUUAAAGGGAGCGUAGAUGGAUGUUUAAGUCAGUUGUGAAAGUUUGCGGCUCAACCGUAAAAUUGCAGUUGAUACUGGAUAUCUUGAGUGCAGUUGAGGCAGGCGGAAUUCGUGGUGUAGCGGUGAAAUGCUUAGAUAUCACGAAGAACUCCGAUUGCGAAGGCAGCCUGCUAAGCUGCAACUGACAUUGAGGCUCGAAAGUGUGGGUAUCAAACAGGAUUAGAUACCCUGGUAGUCCACACGGUAAACGAUGAAUACUCGCUGUUUGCGAUAUACGGCAAGCGGCCAAGCGAAAGCGUUAAGUAUUCCACCUGGGGAGUACGCCGGCAACGGUGAAACUCAAAGGAAUUGACGGGGGCCCGCACAAGCGGAGGAACAUGUGGUUUAAUUCGAUGAUACGCGAGGAACCUUACCCGGGCUUAAAUUGCAGAUGAAUUACGGUGAAAGCCGUAAGCCGCAAGGCAUCUGUGAAGGUGCUGCAUGGUUGUCGUCAGCUCGUGCCGUGAGGUGUCGGCUUAAGUGCCAUAACGAGCGCAACCCUUGUUGUCAGUUACUAACAGGUUCCGCUGAGGACUCUGACAAGACUGCCAUCGUAAGAUGUGAGGAAGGUGGGGAUGACGUCAAAUCAGCACGGCCCUUACGUCCGGGGCUACACACGUGUUACAAUGGGGGGUACAGAGGGCCGCUACCACGCGAGUGGAUGCCAAUCCCAAAAACCUCUCUCAGUUCGGACUGGAGUCUGCAACCCGACUCCACGAAGCUGGAUUCGCUGGUAAUCGCGCAUCAGCCACGGCGCGGUGAAUACGUUCCCGGGCCUUGUACACACCGCCCGUCAAGCCAUGGGAGCCGGGGGUACCUGAAGUGCGUAACCGCGAGGAGCGCCCUAGGGUAAAACUGGUGACUGGGGCU